RNAcentral lists this unclassified non-coding RNA (145 nucleotides) under soil metagenome. Its description in RNAcentral is "partial internal transcribed spacer 1". The record is from RNAcentral.
UAAUAAGUGUUUUAUGGCACUUUUUAAAUCCAUAUCCACCUUGUGUGCAAUGUCAGUCGAUCUUCUUUAUGGAGAUCGACCAAACAUCAACCUUUAUCUUUUAACUCUUUGUCUGAAAAAUAUUAUGAAUAAACAAUUCAAAAUA